AGAGGAAGUAAAAGUCGUAACAAGGUUUCCGUAGGUGAACCUGCGGAAGGAUCAUUAUUGAUAUUAAUUGUUCUACCUUCAGUGCUGGCUCUUGCAUGUGCACGUUGGGGACAUAUAUCCAAUACCCUCUUGUGAACCAUUGGCCUUUGCUAGCUUCGGCUGGUAAAGGAUUUUACACACAUGAAUGUAAUGAAAUAAUCUUGUGCUGAGCACUAAAUAUACAACUUUCAACAACGGAUCUCUUGGCUCUCGCAUCGAUGAAGAACGCAGCGAAAUGCGAUAAGUAAUGUGAAUUGCAGAAUUCAGUGAAUCAUCGAAUCUUUGAACGCACCUUGCACCCUUUGGUAUUCCAAAGGGUAUGCCCGUUUGAGUGUCAUUAUACUCUCACACUCUCUAAUUAGUUAGAGAGCGGUGGAUUUGGAUGCUGCCUGGUACUUACUGUCAGGCUCAUCUUAAAUAAAUUAGUGCGACUCUUAGUUGAACAUAGUACGGCGUGAUAAGUAACCCUCGCUGUUUUCUGUCUGAUUAAGAGCUCUGUGCUUCAAACCGUCUCAGGACAAUAUUUGAUAACUUGACCUCAACUCGAGUAGGAUUACCCGCUGAACUUAAGCAUAUCAAUAAGCGGAGGAAAAGAAACUAACAAGGAUUCCCCUAGUAACGGCGAGUGAAGAGGGAAAAGCUCAAAUUUUGAAUCUGGCGUCUUUGGCGUCCGAGUUGUAAUCUAGAGAAGUGUUUUCCGUGGCGGACCGUGCAUAAGUCUCCUGGAAUGGAGCGUCAUAGAGGGUAAGAAUCCCGUGUAUGGCAUGGACUACCGUUACUCUGUGAUACACUCUCAACGAGUCGAGUUGUUUGGGAAUGCAGCUCUAAAUGGGUGGUAAAUGCCAUCUAAAGCUAAAUAUUGGCGAGAGACCGAUAGCGAACAAGUACCGUGAGGGAAAGAUGAAAAGCACUUUGGAAAGAGAGUGAAACAGUACGUGAAAUUGUUGAAAGGGAAACGCUUGAAGUCAGGCGCACUCUCGGGGAUUCAGCCUUGCUUCUGCUUGGUUUACUUCGCCUUGGGUGGGUCAACGUCAGUGUUGGUCAGAGGAAAAAGACUUGGGGAAGGUAGCAGUAUUUAUGCUGUGUUAUAGCCUCUUGUUGUAUACUUUGACUAGAACUGAGGACCGCAGCGCGCCUUUACGGCCGGGGCUUGCCCACGUACGCGCUUAGGAUGUUGACAAAAUGGCUUUAAGUGACCCGUCUUG
This 1244-nucleotide ribosomal RNA is filed under the name Helvellosebacina helvelloides. RNAcentral describes it as "eukaryotic LSU rRNA". The stretch from base 573 to 1244 matches the Rfam family "Eukaryotic large subunit ribosomal RNA", at positions 1 to 656 of the family's 3401-position model. Lineage: Eukaryota; Fungi; Basidiomycota; Agaricomycetes; Sebacinales; Sebacinaceae. The record is from RNAcentral.